UACAGCCAUAUCAUGUUGAAAGACCAGUUCUCAUACGAUCAUCAAAGUUAAGCAACAUCGAGCCAGGUCAGUACUUAGAUGGGUGACCACUUGGGAAUACCAGUUGUUGCAAG
This 113-nucleotide ribosomal RNA is filed under the name Acanthosepion pharaonis. Lineage: Eukaryota; Metazoa; Mollusca; Cephalopoda; Sepiida; Sepiidae. The record is from RNAcentral.